UGCAAGUCGAACGGAAAGGCCCUUCGGGGUACUCGAGUGGCGAACGGGUGAGUAACACGUGGGUGAUCUGCCCUGCACUUUGGGAUAAGCCUGGGAAACUGGGUCUAAUACCGAAUAGGACCGCAUGCUUCAUGGUGUGUGGUGGAAAGCUUUUGCGGUGUGGGAUGGGCCCGCGGCCUAUCAGCUUGUUGGUGAGGUAAUGGCUUACCAAGGCGACGACGGGUAGCCGGCCUGAGAGGGUGACCGGCCACACUGGGACUGAGAUACGGCCCAGACUCCUACGGGAGGCAGCAGUGGGGAAUAUUGCACAAUGGGCGCAAGCCUGAUGCAGCGACGCCGCGUGAGGGAUGACGGCCUUCGGGUUGUAAACCUCUUUCGCCAGGGACGAAGCGCAAGUGACGGUACCUGGAGAAGAAGGACCGGCCAACUACGUGCCAGCAGCCGCGGUAAUACGUAGGGUCCGAGCGUUGUCCGGAAUUACUGGGCGUAAAGAGCUCGUAGGUGGUUUGUCGCGUUGUUCGUGAAAACUCACAGCUUAACUGUGGGCGUGCGGGCGAUACGGGCAGACUUGAGUACUGCAGGGGAGACUGGAAUUCCUGGUGUAGCGGUGGAAUGCGCAGAUAUCAGGAGGAACACCGGUGGCGAAGGCGGGUCUCUGGGCAGUAACUGACGCUGAGGAGCGAAAGCGUGGGGAGCGAACAGGAUUAGAUACCCUGGUAGUCCACGCCGUAAACGGUGGGUACUAGGUGUGGGUUUCCUUCCUUGGGAUCCGUGCCGUAGCUAACGCAUUAAGUACCCCGCCUGGGGAGUACGGCCGCAAGGCUAAAACUCAAAGAAAUUGACGGGGGCCCGCACAAGCGGCGGAGCAUGUGGAUUAAUUCGAUGCAACGCGAAGAACCUUACCUGGGUUUGACAUGCACAGGACGCCGGCAGAGAUGUCGGUUCCCUUGUGGCCUGUGUGCAGGUGGUGCAUGGCUGUCGUCAGCUCGUGUCGUGAGAUGUUGGGUUAAGUCCCGCAACGAGCGCAACCCUUGUCUCAUGUUGCCAGCACGUUAUGGUGGGGACUCGUGAGAGACUGCCGGGGUCAACUCGGAGGAAGGUGGGGAUGACGUCAAGUCAUCAUGCCCCUUAUGUCCAGGGCUUCACACAUGCUACAAUGGCCGGUACAAAGGGCUGCGAUGCCGUGAGGUGGAGCGAAUCCUUUCAAAGCCGGUCUCAGUUCGGAUCGGGGUCUGCAACUCGACCCCGUGAAGUCGGAGUCGCUAGUAAUCGCAGAUCAGCAACGCUGCGGUGAAUACGUUCCCGGGCCUUGUACACACCGCCCGUCACGUCAUGAAAGUCGGUAACACCCGAAGCCGGUGGCCUAACCCCUUGUG
Molecule: ribosomal RNA, 1376 nt
Filed under: Mycolicibacterium gilvum
Lineage: Bacteria; Bacillati; Actinomycetota; Actinomycetes; Mycobacteriales; Mycobacteriaceae
Description: bacterial SSU rRNA
Rfam family: Bacterial small subunit ribosomal RNA
Source: RNAcentral